This 520-nucleotide ribosomal RNA is filed under the name uncultured archaeon. RNAcentral describes it as "bacterial SSU rRNA". It matches the Rfam family "Archaeal small subunit ribosomal RNA", at positions 325 to 849 of the family's 1478-position model. The record is from RNAcentral.
ACGGGGUGCAGCAGGCGCGAAAACUUUGCAAUACACGAAAGUGUGACAAGGCUAUCCCGAGUGCCAUCCGCUGAGGAAGGCUUUUACCCAGUAUAAAUAGCUGGGAGAAUAAGGAGAGGGCAAGUCUGGUGUCAGCCGCCGCGGUAAUACCAGCUCUCCGAGUAGUGUGGAUGUUUAUUGGGCCUAAAGCAUCCGUAGCUUGCUAGGCAAGUCCCCUGUUAAAUCCACCGAUUCAAUCGAUGGUUUGCGGGGGAUACUGUUUGGCUAGGGGACGGGAGAGGUCGACGGUAUUUCCGGGGUAGGGGUGAAAUCCUAUAAUCCCGGGAGGACCACCAGUGGCGAAGGCUGUCGACUAGAACGCGCCCGACGGUGAGGGAUGAAAGCUGGGGGAGCGAACCGGAUUAGAUACCCGGGUAGUCCCAGCUGUAAACGAUGCAGGCUAGGUGUUUGGGCGGCCACGAGCCGCCCUAGUGCCGCAGGGAAGCUGUUAAGCCUGCCGCCUGGGAGUACGCCGCAAGGC